RNAcentral lists this ribosomal RNA (253 nucleotides) under uncultured bacterium. RNAcentral's name for it is "partial 16S ribosomal RNA". It matches the Rfam family "Bacterial small subunit ribosomal RNA", at positions 524 to 776 of the family's 1533-position model. The record is from RNAcentral.
UACAGGGGGGGCAAGCGUUGUUCGGAAUUACUGGGCGUAAAGGGCCAGUAGGCGGCCGACUAAGUCCGACGUGAAAUCCCCUGGCUUAACCUGGGAACUGCGUCGGAUACUGGUUGGCUUGAAUUCGGGAGAGGGAUGCAGAAUUCCAGGUGUAGCGGUGAAAUGCGUAGAUAUCAGGAGGAACACCGGUGGCGAAGGCGGCCCUCUGGACGGUGACUGACGCUGAGACGCGAAAGCGUGGGGAGCAAACAGG